Molecule: ribosomal RNA, 449 nt
Filed under: uncultured bacterium
Lineage: Bacteria
Description: partial 16S ribosomal RNA
Rfam family: Bacterial small subunit ribosomal RNA
Source: RNAcentral
AACGAACGCUGGCGGCAGGCCUAACACAUGCAAGUCGAACGCCGUAGCAAUACAGAGUGGCAGACGGGUGAGUAACGCGUGGGAACGUUCCUUUCGGUUCGGAAUAACUCAGGGAAACUUGAGCUAAUACCGGAUACGCCCUUCGGGGGAAAGAUUUAUUGCCGCAAGAUCGGCCCGCGUCCGAUUAGCUAGUUGGUGUGGUCAUGCCGUACCAAGGAGACGAUCGGUAGCUGGUCUGAGAGGAUUAUCAGCCACACUGGGACUGAGACACGGCCCAGAGUCCUACGGGAGGCAGCAGUGGGGAAUAUUGGACAAUGGGCGGAAGACUGAUACAGCCAUGCCGCGUGAGUGAUGAAGGCCCUAGGGUUGUAAAGCUCUUUCGCCAGGGACGAUAAUGACGGUACCUGGAUAAGAAGCCCCGGCUAACUUCGUGCCAGCCGCCGCGGUAA